GGAUGCAAGGGUGAUCUGGCUGUGAUGUCUGUCAUGCCAUUGAUUGCCAGGUUGAUCUGGCUGGCUAGGCAGAUAUGCCAUUCCUCCCUCACCACUUCCAUUGUGCAUCUCUCCUGAAGCUGUACAUUUGGUUGAAGAGGACAACCUUCUCAAUAGAAGAUUAUUCUUUGGUCAAGAGUAUAUGAGUACCUGUGCUCUCCUGCUAGAAUCUCCAAAUAAGCAAUCAAAGGAAUCAGGACUGUCCUCCUCAGAGGAAGCCAUUACAGUUUCUUUAGGAAAAGUGGGGUUAAUCUCAGAUAGAGAUGAAAUGACUGC
Molecule: small nuclear RNA, 315 nt
Filed under: Castor canadensis (American beaver)
Lineage: Eukaryota; Metazoa; Chordata; Mammalia; Rodentia; Castoridae
Description: 7SK RNA (ENSCCNG00000000488.1)
Rfam family: 7SK RNA
About the family: 7SK was discovered as an abundant small nuclear RNA in the mid-70s but a possible function has only recently been suggested.
Source: RNAcentral